UGCGUAGGUGGCAUGGUAAGUUGGAUGUGAAAUGUUGAGGCUCAACCUCAAAGGUGCAUCCAAAACUGCUGAGCUAGAGUGCAGGAGAGGAAAGCGGAGUUCCGAGUGUAGCGGUGAAAUGCGUAGAGAUUCGGAAGAACACCAGUAGCGAAGGCGGCUUUCUGGACUGUAACUGACACUGAGGCACGAAAGCGUGGGGAGCGAACA
This 207-nucleotide ribosomal RNA is filed under the name uncultured bacterium. Its description in RNAcentral is "partial 16S ribosomal RNA". It matches the Rfam family "Bacterial small subunit ribosomal RNA", at positions 568 to 774 of the family's 1533-position model. The record is from RNAcentral.